RNAcentral lists this ribosomal RNA (401 nucleotides) under uncultured bacterium. Its description in RNAcentral is "bacterial SSU rRNA". It matches the Rfam family "Bacterial small subunit ribosomal RNA", at positions 29 to 416 of the family's 1533-position model. The record is from RNAcentral.
AACGAACGCUGGCGGCGCGCCUAAUACAUGCAAGUCGAGCGAGAAGACGUAGCAAUACGUUUGUAAAGCGGCGAACGGGUGAGGAAUACAUGGGUAACCUACCCUCGAAGUGGGGGAAUAACUAGCCGAAAGGUUAGCUAAUACCGCGUACGCUCCUUGGACUUCGGUUCAGGGAGGAAAGCGAUGCCGAGGGUAUCGCGCUCUUGGAUGGGCUCAUGGUCCUAUCAGCUUGUUGGGAGGUAACGGGCUCACCAAGGCUUCGACGGGUAGCUGGUCUGAGAGGACAAUCAGCCACACUGGCACUGCGACACGGGCCAGACUCCUACGGGAGGCAGCAGUAAGGAAUAUUGCGCAAUGGGCGAAAGCCUGACGCAGCGACGCCGCGUGGGGGAGUGAAGGUC